AUGGGCCACAUAGUUUGUCUAAUCAGUUCCUUGUCCCAAUUGUUGGAAGCAGGGUCAAUCAGGUCACUCACUUUUGAUAGCAAAUGGCUCCCCCUAGGGGUCACAAUCUUCCUAGCAUCUUCCCAGAUAUUGAUGUUAUGUCCAUUACCCACUCGCCAAAUAUAGCCACGUUUUAGAGUAGUUAUACCUGCCAUAAUGCUCUGCCAGGUGAAAGAAGCGCCACGCUUCGGCUUAGACUUCAGCAAAUCGCCAUCAGGGUAGUACUUGGCCCUCAGAAUAGUGGCACACAAGGAAUCAGGAUUAUCUAUAAGACGCCAUGCUUGUUUGGCGAGCAAAGCCAGGUUGAAACAGUGGAUAUCACGGAAUCCCAUUCCACCUUGGUUUUUUGGUACACACAUUUUCCACCAGGCCAUCCAGUGCAUCCUCCUCUGGUUCUCCUCGUCACCCCACCAGAAAUGCGCUAUCGCGUCAAUGAUUCCUUUACAUUUUUUUUAG
RNAcentral lists this ribosomal RNA (495 nucleotides) under Triticum aestivum (bread wheat). RNAcentral's name for it is "partial small subunit ribosomal RNA". Lineage: Eukaryota; Viridiplantae; Streptophyta; Magnoliopsida; Poales; Poaceae. The record is from RNAcentral.